RNAcentral lists this ribosomal RNA (465 nucleotides) under uncultured bacterium. RNAcentral's name for it is "SSU rRNA". It matches the Rfam family "Bacterial small subunit ribosomal RNA", at positions 26 to 518 of the family's 1533-position model. The record is from RNAcentral.
AGAAUCAACGCUGGCGGCGUGCCUAACACAUGCAAGUCGAACGAGAAAGGGGUAGCAAUACCCUGAGUAAAGUGGCGCACGGGUGAGUAACACGUGACUAACCUACCCUUGAGUGGGGGAUAACUGAGGGAAACCUUAGCUAAUACCGCAUAAUACCCACGGGUCAAAGGAGCAAUUCGCUCGAGGAGGGGGUCGCGGCCGAUUAGUUAGUUGGCGGGGUAAUGGCCCACCAAGACGAUGAUCGGUAUCCGGCCUGAGAGGGCGCGACGGACGACGACUGGAACUGAAACACGGUCCAGACUCCUACGGGAGGCAGCAGUGGGGAAUUUUGCGCAAUGGGGGAAACCCUGACGCAGCAACGCCGCGUGGAGGAUGAAGUCCUUCGGGACGUAAACUCCUUUCGAUCGGGACGAUUAUGACGGUACCGGAAGAAGAAGCCCCGGCUAACUUCGUGCCAGCAGCCGC